Molecule: transfer-messenger RNA, 398 nt
Filed under: Prolixibacteraceae
Lineage: Bacteria; Pseudomonadati; Bacteroidota; Bacteroidia; Marinilabiliales
Also listed under: 1 other name
Description: Draconibacterium sp018648265 Standard tmRNA
Rfam family: transfer-messenger RNA
About the family: Bacterial tmRNA, also known as 10Sa RNA or SsrA, is named for its dual tRNA and mRNA-like properties. Its role is to liberate the mRNA from a stalled ribosome.
Source: RNAcentral
GGGGCUGACUGGUUUUGACAGCGGGUAGAAGAGAUGAGUAAGCAUGCCGGGUUUUGAUUGUUGACCUGUAAAAAAUAAUAAUCACAUUUAUAAUUGGCGAAAAUAACUACGCUCUUGCUGCGUAACCGAAUCAAGUAGGUUACACUUUAUCCCGAUGCCAGGCAUUGGGACGGGACAUCGCCCGGAUGCUAAUGCUUUGAAGCGGUCCGAAUUUGCGGUGCAAGUAAAUCGAAGCUAGUAUAAGUGGUGCUCUGACACUCUUGCGAAAAUAAAAGAGAUAAGGUAAACAUUGGUGGCCUCGAUCCGGUGCUUACUCGAAAAUUAAAUCAUGGCUAAACAUGUAGAAAGCUUGUAACUUCCUCGUUUGGACGCGGGUUCGACUCCCGCCAGCUCCACAC